GAUGAACGCUAGCUACAGGCUUAACACAUGCAAGUCGAGGGGUAACGAGAGGAAAGCUUGCUUUCCUUGUCGACGACCGGCGCACGGGUGAGUAACGCGUAUCCAACCUGCCCCCAACUAGGGAAUAACCUUGCGAAAGUAAGACUAAUACCCUAUAAUUUCCUCAGAUGUCAUCUGACGAGGAAUAAAGAUUUAUCGGUUGUGGAUGGGGAUGCGUCUGAUUAGCUUGUUGGCGGGGUAACGGCCCACCAAGGCAACGAUCAGUAGGGGUUCUGAGAGGAAGGUCACCCACAUUGGAGCUGAGACACGGUCCAAACUCCUACGGGAGGCAGCAGUGUGGAAUAUUGGUCAAUGGGCGGAAGCCUGAACCAGCCAAGUAGCGUGCAGGAUGACGGCCCUAUGGGUUGUAAACUGCUUUUAUACAGGAAUAAAGUUAGCCACGUGUGGUUAUUUGUAGGUACUGUAUGAAUAAGGACCGGCUAAUUCCGUGCCAGCCGCCGCUGUAA
RNAcentral lists this ribosomal RNA (506 nucleotides) under uncultured bacterium. RNAcentral's name for it is "partial 16S ribosomal RNA". It matches the Rfam family "Bacterial small subunit ribosomal RNA", at positions 28 to 523 of the family's 1533-position model. The record is from RNAcentral.